Molecule: long non-coding RNA, 1426 nt
Filed under: Salmo salar (Atlantic salmon)
Lineage: Eukaryota; Metazoa; Chordata; Actinopteri; Salmoniformes; Salmonidae
Description: lncRNA (ENSSSAG00000111701.1)
Source: RNAcentral
ACUGGGCCUCCACUGAGUCUCCAUGUGUCAAGCAGUACAGAGAAACCCCCUCUAGAUGGCAGCAGAGGCUCUUGGAUCUACCCUGUCUAUCCACCAGUUUAGUGACCUUGUUCCAUCAAUAUGUCCAUACUACUUCACAACCCAUUUGAGGUCUUGACCAGCAAUGUCCCAUUGGGCUCAACCAAGCCGAGAGUGAGGUUCUAGAAAGAGGACUGACUUUCAUACCAACUCCUAAACAGGUGGACUGACUUUCAUACCAACUCCUAAACAGGUGGACUGACUUUCAUACCAACUCCUAAACAGGUGGACUGACUUUCAUACCAACUCCUAAACAGGUGGACUGACUUUCAUACCAACUCCUAAACAGGUGGACUGACUUCCAUACCAACUCCUAAACAGGUGGACUGACUUUCAUACCAACUCCUAAACAGGUGGACCUACUUUCAUACCAACUCCUAAACAGGUGGACUGACUUUCAUACCAACUCCUAAACAGGUGGACUGACUUUCAUACCAACUCCUAAACAGGUGGACUGACUUUCAUACCAACUCCUAAACAGGUGGACUGACUUUCAUACCAACUCCUAAACAGAUGGACUGACUUUCAUACCAACUCCUAAACAGGUGGACUGACUUUCAUACCAACUCCUAAACAGGUGGACUGACUUUCAUACCAACUCCUAAACAGGUGGACUGACUUUCAUACCAACUCCUAAACAGGUGGACUGACUUUCAUACCAACUCCUAAACAGAUGGACUGACUUUCAUACCAACUCCUAAACAGGUGGACUGACUUUCAUACCAACUCCUAAACAGGUGGACUGACUUUCAUACCAACUCCUAAACAGGUGGACUGACUUUCAUACCAACUCCUAAACAGGUGGACUGGGAGGAGCUCCGGAGGGGAUCUACACGUCUAUCAUAGAGAUUGAAGUUAUAAGAUCAUUGUGAAUAUGAAACAGAUUUUCCUCAGAUACUAUUUCCAAACCCCUCACAUUGGGAACCUCAGUUGGAGUCAGAAACUAUACAGACUCUGAUACGUAGGGAUGUGGCUUCCUUUUCACUAUUCAGAACCAGACCUGUUUAUCAGCUUAACCUUACAAAUGGUUAAAAAUCAAGCUCUAGAAAUAUAGUGAUUAAACCAGCAGAUAAGGGGCUCAGAUUGUUGUAAUGGAUAAAGUGAAUAUCUUCUUGAAGCCAAUAGACAAUAGGAUCAUGUUAAACACUAUGUUCCAUUGUCCCACUCAACACAACCGGAAAACACAAAGAUUAAUCCAGGAGAUAAACUGUAUGAGGAUAAGUACAUUACAGAUAAACAGAUGGUCUGUCUUUUUGGGACAGAUUCUCCAAGGCCUAGGCAGUUUUACUUACUGCCUAAAAUAGACAUCUCCUGAGACGUGGGCGGUUCCCUGCAGCUGACCAAUAGG